GGCUUCGUAGUUUAAAGGAUAGAAUUUGAGAUUCCGGUUCUCAAGGUGUGGGUUCGAUUCCCGCCGAAGUCG
This 72-nucleotide transfer RNA is filed under the name Bacteroidota bacterium. RNAcentral describes it as "Bacteroidetes bacterium (activated sludge metagenome) tRNA-Arg". It matches the Rfam family "tRNA". Rfam says of the family: Transfer RNA (tRNA) molecules are approximately 80 nucleotides in length. Their secondary structure includes four short double-helical elements and three loops (D, anti-codon, and T loops). The record is from RNAcentral. Lineage: Bacteria; Pseudomonadati; Bacteroidota.